ACCGCGACCUGCGAUCAUUGAACGAGGCACGCAGCGGUGGUGGUGGAGAUAGGGAGACCCUCUGUGCCGGGGGGACCCUCACCAAGGUGAAGACACCGAGGCUCAGGGAGGAAGCAAAGCGCGGAGCAGGGCCAGAUCUGUCUGGCUCCUGACCCCACACCACAGCUUUCGACAUUGUUUAGUAACAGCCUCUGCAUCCUGAGGGUGCUCUCGCUAGGUGUGACUUGAAUCUCUCCUCCCCUCGCCUGCGUUGGAUCUGAUGGAAGGACUGUGUAAGUAGGUCGGAUCUGCUUCUAACCCAGCCUUGAGAGACAUCACCUGUCUUCUUGUGCAGAUCCUCAGAACAGGAAGGUGGCAGAAUCGUGUUUCAAAGUGGGACUUGAAGAUGCUUGGCAGGAGACUCG
Molecule: long non-coding RNA, 404 nt
Organism: Homo sapiens (human)
Lineage: Eukaryota; Metazoa; Chordata; Mammalia; Primates; Hominidae
Exons: 3
Source: RefSeq, a predicted model, not a curated record